UCCUGGUUAACCCAGGCAGUCUCGUUAGAGUGCCCACCAUUACGUGCUGGCAAAUAACGACAAGGGUUGCGCUCGUUGCGGGACUUAACCCAACACCUCACGGCACGAGCUGACGACAGCCAUGCAGCACCUGUGUAUCUGUCUCUUGCGAGAAAAUUACAUCUCUGUAAUCGUCACAUACAUGUCAAGUCCUGGUAAGGUUCUUCGCGUUGCAUCGAAUUAAACCACAUGCUCCACUGCUUGUGCGGGUCCCCGUCAAUUCUUUUGAGUUUCACCCUUGCGAGCGUACUCCCCAGGCGGUAUACUUAUCGCGUUAGCUACGGCACAAUGGGGGUUGAGUCCCACUACGCCAAGUAUACAUAGUUUAAGGCAAGGACUAC
Molecule: unclassified non-coding RNA, 380 nt
Filed under: uncultured Chlamydiales bacterium
Lineage: Bacteria; Pseudomonadati; Chlamydiota; Chlamydiia; Chlamydiales
Description: contains 16S-23S intergenic spacer region
Source: RNAcentral